Molecule: ribosomal RNA, 253 nt
Filed under: uncultured bacterium
Lineage: Bacteria
Description: partial 16S ribosomal RNA
Rfam family: Bacterial small subunit ribosomal RNA
Source: RNAcentral
UACGUAGGGUGCGAGCGUUAAUCGGAAUUACUGGGCGUAAAGCGUGCGCAGGCGGUUUGCUAAGACCGAUGUGAAAUCCCCGGGCUUAACCUGGGAACUGCAUUGGUGACUGGCAGGCUAGAGUAUGGCGGAGGGGGGUAGAAUUCCACGUGUAGCAGUGAAAUGCGUAGAGAUGUGGAGGAAUACCGAUGGCGAAGGCAGCCCCCUGGGCCAAUACUGACGCUCAUGCACGAAAGCGUGGGGAGCAAACAGG